UUCAGGAGUCUAGGCUUUCAAAAAAAUCCAGUACAGUGAGAAAGACAUGACAUGGCUGAGAUGGAGAGAAUAUGAGGUGGCCACAGCAGAAAAGUUGAGAACAAUUUGAAAGAGGAAAAUCUGUGGCCAAAUUCAAGGCACCCUAGGCUGUGAUCCUGGAACUGAACAUCUGAUGAGUCAAUACAGGGCACGGAGUAGGACUUUGAAGUCCUCCAUUGGAUCUUCUCGGAAGAUGAGGGAAAUGAGAGAGUGUGGAGAGAGAUUUUGUAAGUCCGGUCUGGAAGUGGUCAUUGUUCAGAAUCCAGCCACGUGGGUACAUGGAACUGUAAGCUGUCUCUUAGCGAAGAAUAAAACUGUGGACUGACCCCCACCCAUUUGCGAAGAAAGUACUGGGUCUUCAGCUUUCAUUGUUCAGCCGGUGGUCUUUGUGGACAACACCAGGGGCCCCUCCUGCUGAAGACUGUCUGGACUUCCUGAUUUUCACUCCUGUAUAAACCCCCUCCCCCAUUACUACCUUUGUCUCCUUGGGGAAAAAAAAUGUUUUUCACUUAAGCAAAAUAAUAACUACCCAGUAUUUGUUUCUGGAGUGAAAUUGUAAACUUCAUUGUACAUUCUUCCUGGCUUUGAUGCUUAUCGUGAAGAGUUCAGUGAAAAUAAAUUGUUUUUAUGAAAGCAGAGAAACCAUUUGAUAAACACGCUGUCUCUGAAAAUCGUUCCUGCAAAAGAGGUCAUUCUUUCACUUUAAAAGAAAUAGAAUAUAUUUCAGAAAACAGGCAGGACAACAUACAAAUUUUUUUUUAAGGCAGAGUGUAAAUACAGUGAAAAUUGCACACCUCCUGAUUGUGUGGAGUGUUUUGG
RNAcentral lists this long non-coding RNA (858 nucleotides) under Homo sapiens (human). Its description in RNAcentral is "HSALNT0231161". The record is from RNAcentral. Lineage: Eukaryota; Metazoa; Chordata; Mammalia; Primates; Hominidae.